GGGCGAGUUUGAUCAUGGCUCAGAGCGAACGCUGGCGGCAGGCCUAACACAUGCAAGUCGAGCGGCCGUAGCAAUACGGCAGCGGCAGACGGGAGAGUAACACGUGGGAACGCGCCCUUCGGUUCGGAAUAACUCAGGGAAACUUGAGCUAAUACCGGAUACGCCCUUACGGGGAAAGAUUUAUUGCCGAAGGAACGGCCCGCGUCCGAUUAGCUAGUUGGUGAGGUAAUGGCUCACCAAGGCGACGAUCGGUAGCUGGUCUGAGAGGAUGACCAGCCUCACUGGGACUGAGACACGGCCCAGACUCCUACGGGAGGCAGCAGUGGGGAAUAUUGGACAAUGGGCGCAAGCCUGAUCCAGCCAUGCCGCGUGGAUGAUGAAGGCCUUAGGGUUGUAAAGUCCUUUUAACGGGGAAGAUAAUGACGGUACCCGUAGAAUAAGCCCCGGCUAACUUCGUGCCAGCAGCCGCGGUAAUAA
RNAcentral lists this ribosomal RNA (477 nucleotides) under uncultured bacterium. RNAcentral's name for it is "bacterial SSU rRNA". It matches the Rfam family "Bacterial small subunit ribosomal RNA", at positions 1 to 526 of the family's 1533-position model. The record is from RNAcentral.